This 481-nucleotide ribosomal RNA is filed under the name uncultured bacterium. RNAcentral's name for it is "bacterial SSU rRNA". It matches the Rfam family "Bacterial small subunit ribosomal RNA", at positions 791 to 1271 of the family's 1533-position model. The record is from RNAcentral.
UAGUCCACGCCGUAAACGAUGGACACUUGGUGUUGGAGGUAUUGACCCCUUCAGUGCCGUAGCUAACGCGUUAAGUGUCCCGCCUGGGGAGUACGGUCGCAAGAUUAAAACUCAAAGAAAUUGACGGGGGCCCGCACAAGCGGUGGAGCAUGUGGUUUAAUUCGAUGCAACGCGAAAAACCUUACCUGGGUUUGACAUAUACAGGAAGUAUUCAGAGAUGAGUACGUCUUCGGACCUGUAUACAGGUGCUGCAUGGCUGUCGUCAGCNCGUGUCGUGAGAUGUUGGGUUAAGUCCCGCAACGAGCGCAACCCCUAUCUUUAGUUGCCAGCAUUUAGUUGGGCACUCUUAGAGAGACUACCGACGUUAAAGUCGGAGGAAGUGGGGAUGACGUCAAGUCUCAUGGGCCCUUAUACCCAGGGGCUACACACGUGCUACAAUGGGUGAGUACAGAGGGGUUGCGAGACCGUGAGGUCAAGCUAA